Molecule: ribosomal RNA, 1515 nt
Filed under: metagenome
Description: bacterial SSU rRNA
Rfam family: Bacterial small subunit ribosomal RNA
Source: RNAcentral
AGGGUUUGAUUCUGGCUCAGAACGAACGCUGGCAGCGUGGAUUAGGCAUGCAAGUCGAACGUGAAUCCGGUGAUCAAUCUUUCGGGAGAGUGAACCGGUGGAAAGUGGCGGAAGGGUGAGUAACGCGUGGGCAAUCUGCCUCCGAGUUGGGGAUAACCAUUCGAAAGGAUGGCUAAUACCGAAUACGGUGGUGUUGCUUCGGUGACAUUGACUAAAGGUGGGGCUCCUUCGGGACCUGCCGCUGGGAGAGGAACCCGCGUCCGAUCAGCUUGUUGGUGGGGUAACGGCCUACCAAGGCUACGACCGGUAGCUGGUCUGAGAGGAUGGUCAGCCACACUGGGACUGAGACACUGCCCAGACUCCUACGGGAGGCUGCAGUCGAGGAUCAUUGGCAAUGCGCGAAAGCGUGACCAUGCGACGCUGCGUGGGGGAUGAAGGCCUUCGGGUUGUAAACCCCUGUCAUUGGGGACAAAUCACUCGGCCGUGAAUAUCGGUUGAGUUUGAUGGUACCUGAAGAGGAAGCCACGGCUAACUCUGUGCCAGCAGCCGCGGUAAUACAGAGGUGGCGAGCGUUGUUCGGAUUUACUGGGCGUAAAGGGUGCGUAGGUGGCUGCGUGUGUCGGAUGUGAAAUCCCGUUGCUUAACGGCGGAACUGCAUUCGAAACUGCGUGGCUUGAGUGCAGGAGGGGAGAGCGGAAUUCUCGGUGUAGCGGUGAUAUGUGUUGAUAUCGAGAAGAACACCGGUGGCGAGGCGGCUCUCUGGAAUGUUACUGACACUGAGGCACGAAAGCUGGGGGAGCAAACAGGAUUAGAUACCCUGGUAGUCCCAGCCGUAAACGGUGCGCACUUGGUGUUGGCGGUAUUGAUCCCGCCAGUGCCGGAGCUAACGCGUUAAGUGCGCCGCCUGGGGAGUACGGCCGCAAGGUUAAAACUCAAAGAAAUUGACGGGGGCCCGCACAAGCGGAGGAGCAUGUGGCUUAAUUCGAUGCAACGCGAAGAACCUUACCAGGGCUUGACAUGCAGCUGCACGCCCCGGGAAACCGGGGUUCCUUCGAGGGUGCUGCACAGGUGCUGCAUGGCUGUCGUCAGUUCGUGCCGUGAGGUGUUGGGUUAAGUCCCGCAACGAACGCAACCCCUGUGGUUAGUUGCCACCGUCGGUGAUGAGCCGGCGAGCACUCUAGCCAGACUGCCCGUACAAGCGGGAGGAAGGUGGGGACGACGUCAAGUCAGUAUGGCCCUUACGCCCUGGGCUGCACACGUGCUACAAUGGUCGGUACAAAGGGAAGCAAGACCGUGAGGUGGAGCAAAUCCCCAAAGCCGGCCCCAGUUCGGAUUGGAGUCUGCAACUCGACUCCAUGAAGUCGGAUUCGCUAGUAACGGCGCAUCAGCUACGGCGCCGUGAAUACGUUCCCGGGCCUUGUACACACCGCCCGUCACAUCAUGAAAGCCGUCUGCACCCGAAGUCGCCGGGCCAACCCGUAAGGGAGGCAGGUGCCGAAGGUGUGGGUGGUGAUU